This 305-nucleotide ribosomal RNA is filed under the name uncultured bacterium. RNAcentral describes it as "bacterial SSU rRNA". It matches the Rfam family "Bacterial small subunit ribosomal RNA", at positions 337 to 659 of the family's 1533-position model. The record is from RNAcentral.
GCCUACGGGGGGCAGCAGUGGGGAAUAUUGCACAAUGGGGGAAACCCUGAUGCAGCGACGCCGCGUGAGUGAGGAAGUAUUUCGGUAUGUAAAGCUCUAUCAGCAGGGAAGAAAAUGACGGUACCUGACCAAGAAGCCCCGGCUAACUACGUGCCAGCAGCCGCGGUAAUACGUAGGGGGCAAGCGUUAUCCGGAAUUACUGGGUGUAAAGGGAGCGUAGACGGUGAUGCAAGUCUGGAGUGAAAGGCGGGGGCCCAACCCCCGGACUGCUCUGGAAACUGUGUAACAUGAGUGCAGGAGAGGGA